Molecule: unclassified non-coding RNA, 435 nt
Filed under: Scutellaria diffusa
Lineage: Eukaryota; Viridiplantae; Streptophyta; Magnoliopsida; Lamiales; Lamiaceae
Description: partial contains external transcribed spacer and 18S ribosomal RNA
Source: RNAcentral
UGCUCGGGCAGCGACGACGUCUCCGGCUAGCCUCUUCAAUCGUCGGCACGAGUGCGGCUUCGCCUCGGUCGAUGUCGGUUUCCUGUGCCGUAUACCCGAUGGUAGGGCACUCCGUUCGGCCAAGAUGUCCCGAUUCCGUCCCGUGUCCGUGCGCCCUUCGGCGCCCGAGGUGCGGGAUGGACCCCGGAGCAUCCUCCGUGCGUCGCGAUCCGUUCGCUUCCGAACGGGGCGAUCGGUCCGACGACCCACGGCGGCAUGCUCGAUCUCUCGGAUGCGGAACACCCGUGGGUACGAGGCAACGUCCUCCGAACGUCCCGAAAAAACGGCUUCCACGCUCCACAGCGAACGACCGCCGUCCCGAUCGCGAUCGCCCGCCCCGGCGGCACCGAUCGUGUCGGGACGGCGUCGGAUGAGGAAUGCUACCUGGUUGAUCCU